Molecule: ribosomal RNA, 497 nt
Filed under: uncultured bacterium
Lineage: Bacteria
Description: partial 16S ribosomal RNA
Rfam family: Bacterial small subunit ribosomal RNA
Source: RNAcentral
GAUGAACGCUGGCGGCGUGCCUAAUACAUGCAAGUCGAGCGAACAGAUGAGGAGCUUGCUCCUCUGACGUUAGCGGCGGACGGGUGAGUAACACGUGGAUAACCUACCUAUAAGACUGGGAUAACUUCGGGAAACCGGAGCUAAUACCGGAUAAUAUAUUGAACCGCAUGGUUCAAUAGUGAAAGACGGUUUUGCUGUCACUUAUAGAUGGAUCCGCGCCGCAUUAGCUAGGUGGUAAGGUAACGGCUUACCAAGGCAACGAUGCGUAGCCGACCUGAGAGGGGGGUGGGCCACACUGGAGGGGAGCGCCGGCCCAGCGUACUACGGGGGGCAGCAGUAGGGAGGCUUCCGGAAUGAGGGAAGGCCUGACGGAGCACCGUCGCGUGAGUAGUGAUGGUCUUCGGAUCGUAAAACUCUGUUAUUGGGGAAGAACAAAUGCGUAAGUAACUAUGCACGUCUUAACGUAGCCUAAUCAGAAAGCCACGGCUAACUACGUG